GCAUCGCAAGAAGUUUGGCUUGCGGAGAUCGGAGGCGUCUCGGAAAAACAAUUCAUUUUUGUAGUAAAUUAACAUCGUUCGCUCAGUUUCCCGGAUUGAAUAAAUGCUUCGAGUGCAUUGCAACAGAUGCCGAUUUGCACAUAAGUUUCUUGUUUUUCGGAAAUGAUUUAACGAAUAUGUUUAAUUACGGUAACCACCAAGCUUAUUUCGUGUGAAGCAACUGCCAUGGCAAUAAUCUGGAAGCUGAUUGGAAUGUUUUUUCGAAUGAAGAACUCGCUGCUGCUGUUUUAUUGAUAGACCGAGUCGUAAUUAAAGGAUUGUUCGAUCCAAGUCGAUGGAAUGAAAUGAUAAGGUACGUUCUGCUAUUAUACUUAAAGACUCUCACACUCUGGUUCAGGAAUGUUGGAAUCGAGUAUUUAUAGUGAAAAGCGCAUUCAAAAAUGAUGAAGGUUAAACUGGUGGAAAUAUUCUGCCAAAUAUUCGGAAAAGUCACAAACAGGAAAAUAGAAAACUCUUAAAAUAUUUUCUAACACAGUCCAACGAGAGAAUAAAUCUAUUAUAAUCAAUAUUGUAACAAAUAGAUAGAGAUCUAUAUCAAAUAGGUGGGAAAAAAUCUAUUUCCAAUCAUUUAAUAACUUCAAUAAAUUUAAAUUCAUAAUUCUGUCAAUUUAGCGAAAUAUACCCACUUUGCAUUAAACUAAAUUCAAUUUUAAUUUUCAAUUUAAAUUCAAUGUUAAACAAGAUUAAUUACUAAACGUUUAUAAUAAUGCUUUUGAAGCAUAUUUUCUCUAAAAGUUUUAAUUUAAAAUACAUUUCUAGAUAAAAGAUUCAUUUAAAAAGUAUCUUUAAGGAUAAAACAGGCUAAUUUACGUGUUAGUUUUACAUAUUUAGCGUAUCUAAACAAAUCCAAUAUAAUUCCCUUGAUAAAAUCUUUCAAUAAGCGAAUUGCGUUCCCUAAUUUUUGGUAGUUUAAUUUGAACUAGACCUUCUUUAGUGUCGCGAACAUGUUGAAUCUUAAAUUUGUAAAUUUGGAAUAAUCGGGAUUGGGAGAGGAGAUUUAUUGCAUUCGUUUUUUCUUUUCAAUGCGCAUUUUAAGUUUGGGGUGAAUUCAAGUGAUUUAAUUUUUGUUUUCUUCUAUUGGCAUUGUUAGUUUUGGUCAUUUAUACGCUUUGGAAGAAAACAAAUCUUUUAGAUAAAUCACUUCGCAUCGGAACGAAUUGAAAGCUCUAUCGAUGAUCUACUAAGGUUUUAGCCUACAUAUAUUUGAGAGAAAUGGCUGUUUUAUAAAAGGUUCUUACAGGCAAGAAGGAAUUCUACUGAAAAAAUAUAGGGGGCAACUAGAAACUAUGUUUAAAUGUAUAUAUGGGGUUUCAGGUGGUUUUAGAAAGCAUUUUUCAAAAGAUAAGGGAUUCCAUUUGUUUUGUUGAUAGUUCUUUCUCAAGCGCAAUUUUUAAAUCGACAAGUUUUCUUACAGUUUCAUAGCUAAUUACAAAGCUAGAUAAAAUUCAUUAAAAUUCUAAAAUAUGCUAUUGAAUUCAUAAGUGUUGCUUUCAAAAUAUUCCUUUUUAAAAAUUCCACUUGUCAUAGAAAUCAUCAACACUUCCAUAAAACAUUAACUAACAAAUAUGCACAGAAUUGUCCUUGCUUACAACAAAUAAAAUUUUUAAAGUAUUUUAUCAAAACUAUUAAUGACUGCUUAAAUAUUGCUUCAACUAACGAAUCAUACAUAAUACGAAAUUGAAAAUUGAAUAUUUCAAAUUAAAGCUUGUGUACUCUCCGUUCUACGUAGAUGAUGUCGUCCAUAUCGAUUUGUUAUUAUUGUUUCUCGUCGAAAUAAAUCCAGAUAGUGUUCA
Molecule: long non-coding RNA, 1853 nt
Filed under: Hermetia illucens (black soldier fly)
Lineage: Eukaryota; Metazoa; Arthropoda; Insecta; Diptera; Stratiomyidae
Description: uncharacterized LOC119653700
Source: RNAcentral